Molecule: transfer RNA, 73 nt
Filed under: Candidatus Bathyarchaeota archaeon
Lineage: Archaea; Thermoproteati; Candidatus Bathyarchaeota
Description: tRNA-Asp
Rfam family: tRNA
About the family: Transfer RNA (tRNA) molecules are approximately 80 nucleotides in length.
Source: RNAcentral
GGGGUAGAAGUUCAAUUGGACGAAUGCCUGUCUGUCGAACAGGAGGUUGCGGGUUCGAACCCCGUGUGCCCCG